GGGAAAGGGGGGAGGGCUAGGAUGAAAAAUGCUGUCCUGUAUUUUUCUUUGAAUGUUAUCUCAAUGUAAGUGUAGUCCUGCUUUUUUUUAUUUUACACUCUAUUCUGUCCUGCCCUGCAUUUCUUAGUUAAUAAUUUAUCCUGACUUGUUUUACAUAAAGUCAUCAUGCCUUUUCUUUUCGGCAAGAUGCACAUACUGCCUUUUUUCUCUAAACUCCUGUCAUGCCUUUUUCAUACAAGACUAACAAAGGCCAGAGGCUCCUGACUUGGGAUAGGCGCAAAAUUGCGGCGGGGUUAAACAUGUUUAUGAGAUCUCAACCCUCCCCUAAUAAACGCAUAACAAUACGCACAUUAAAAUUCAGUUCAAAAGAAGUUCGAGUCCGAUGUGAGAAGAUGUAACAAAAGAAAAUAAAUAAAAUGACAUGAGAAUGAUAAUUAGAAAUAAAAACCCUUAUAUUUUUCUU
Molecule: long non-coding RNA, 463 nt
Filed under: Mytilus galloprovincialis (Mediterranean mussel)
Lineage: Eukaryota; Metazoa; Mollusca; Bivalvia; Mytilida; Mytilidae
Source: RNAcentral